GUUUCUGUAGUGUAGUGGUCAUCGCGUUCGUCUAAGACGCGAAAGGUCCCCAGUUCGAGACUAGGCAGAAACU
This is a non-coding RNA of Chiloscyllium plagiosum (whitespotted bambooshark), 73 nucleotides long. NCBI's taxonomy places the organism in Eukaryota, Metazoa, Chordata, Chondrichthyes, Orectolobiformes, Hemiscylliidae. The record is from the annotation of a RefSeq genome assembly.